GGGUUAGUAGGUUGGUCAUGCCUCUGGUAUGUACUGGUCUCACUGAUUCCUCCUUCCUGAUGAACCGUAAUGCCAUUAAUUUGGUGUUGCGGGGAAUUUGGACUGUUACUUUGAAAAAAUUAGAGUGUUUAAAGCAGGCUAACGCUUGAAUACAUUAGCAUGGAAUAAUGAAAUAGGACGUUCGAUCCUAUUUUGUUGGUUUCUAGGAUUGACGUA
Molecule: ribosomal RNA, 216 nt
Filed under: Rhizophagus irregularis
Lineage: Eukaryota; Fungi; Glomeromycota; Glomeromycetes; Glomerales; Glomeraceae
Description: partial 18S ribosomal RNA
Rfam family: Eukaryotic small subunit ribosomal RNA (bases 40-216)
Source: RNAcentral